This 104-nucleotide ribosomal RNA is filed under the name Pogona vitticeps (central bearded dragon). Lineage: Eukaryota; Metazoa; Chordata; Lepidosauria; Squamata; Agamidae. The record is from RNAcentral.
GAGCCACCCUGAACAUAAUCAGUCUCAUUUGAUUUUGGAAGCAGGGCAGGGUUGGGCCUGAUUAAUGCUAGGAUGAGAAGCCAUCAGGGACCUGUUGGACCUCU